Molecule: ribosomal RNA, 411 nt
Filed under: uncultured prokaryote
Description: bacterial SSU rRNA
Rfam family: Bacterial small subunit ribosomal RNA
Source: RNAcentral
GUGUCAGCAGCCGCGGUAAUACGGAGGGAGCUAGCGUUGUUCGGAAUUACUGGGCGUAAAGCGCGCGUAGGCGGCUACUCAAGUCAGAGGUGAAAGCCCGGGGCUACCCCGGAACUGCCUUUGAAACUAGGUAGCUAGAAUCCUGGAGAGGUCAGUGGAAUUCCGAGUGUAGAGGUGAAAUUCGUAGAUAUUCGGAAGAACACCAGUGGCGAAGGCGACUGACUGGACAAGUAUUGACGCUGAGGUGCGAAAGCGUGGGGAGCAAACAGGAUUAGAUACCCUGUAGUCCACGCCGUAAACGAUGAUAACUAGCUGUCCGGGCACAUGGUGCUUGGGUGGCGCAGCUAACGCAUUAAGUUAUCCGCCUGGGGAGUACGGUCGCAAGAUUAAAACUCAAAGGAAUUGACGGGG